Molecule: non-coding RNA, 23 nt
Filed under: Cricetulus griseus (Chinese hamster)
Lineage: Eukaryota; Metazoa; Chordata; Mammalia; Rodentia; Cricetidae
Source: RNAcentral
AGCCGGGCUUUGGUGGCGCACGC